RNAcentral lists this ribosomal RNA (375 nucleotides) under uncultured bacterium. Its description in RNAcentral is "bacterial SSU rRNA". It matches the Rfam family "Bacterial small subunit ribosomal RNA", at positions 28 to 404 of the family's 1533-position model. The record is from RNAcentral.
GACGAACGCUGGCGGCGUGCUUAACACAUGCAAGUCGAGCGGUAAGGCCCUUUCGGGGUACGACGAGCGGCGAACGGGUGAGUAACACGUGGGUGACCUGCCUCUAGCUCUGGGAUAAGCCCGGGAAACUGGGUCUAAUACUGGAUAUGACUCCAUGACGCAUGUUGUGGGGUGGAAAGCCUUGUGCGGCUAGAGAUGGGCCCGCGGCCUAUCAGCUUGUUGGUGGGGUGANGGCCUACCAAGGCGACGACGGGUAGCCGGCCUGAGAGGGCGACCGGCCACACUGGGACUGAGACACGGCCCAGACUCCUACGGGAGGCAGCAGUGGGGAAUCUUGCGCAAUGGGCGAAAGCCUGACGCAGCGACGCCGCGUGA